CUGCAUUAUCUUAUACAGUAAGAAAGAAAUGCAAAGAUGGAAGCAAAAGGAUGCUAGAAAAUUGGAGUCUCCUUCUUACAAUCUGCAGCAUUAUCAUAACAUCAACCCUAGCUGUCGUUUUAAAGCUGCAUUGGGAUUAUGUUAACAAGCAGGAAGCACCUGAACUGAAUUGGACUGCACACUAUACAAGUUCUGUGAUCGUGAGGACUACCUCCAAGAACCAUCUCAAAAGGAGAGACACAGUUCACAGUGAAAUGAUUGCUAAUGUGACCUACACUGGUAUUUCACAAGGAACCUAUUGAGAUUAUUCCAAAAACCGAUUAUACAUGAGAAAGAUGUGAUUGGCAAAGCAUGCUGGAAACAGAAAAAGACGGGACAGAUGCUAGUGAAAGACUUUGGAUGCACCUAUGAAGGUGAUUAAGAAAAGACUUUGCCAUAUAGUUUAUCAUUGAGUGACUACCGCAAACAGCCUUCUUAUGCUGAAAAGAAGUGCUAUGCUAAUUCUGGACAUUGUUAUUAUGUUUCCAGACAGAAGAUGAAUGGAAAAAUAAAUAAAGGCUGAUAACUGUCAACACCCAGCUGUUUCUCAAGAUGGAACAUGUUACUGACAAAACCAGAUUGACUAUCAAAGCACCUCACAGUACAAGACACAGAUUGUUAACUACAACUCAGAAAAAGUGGUUAAUAGGAAGGAUCAGAAGAAGAGGAAUAUAGAUUUCCUACUGGAGAGAAAAACCAUCCUGGAACAAUAUUCUGCAACAAUGAACUUUACAAUGACAUUUGGUGGCAUAUGAAUUUGAAUUUGGUAGAAACACAUCAAUUAACUAAAGAAACCUUGAUGCAAUUAAUAAAUGAUAACAAGACCGGCCUACUAAGAGCAGAUGCCCUGCCAAGAGAAUGGAAUAUAAAAGGCCAGCAAAACCUGUCAGAAACCUGACAUCACGGGACACUUGUACUAAAGCACGAUUUGCAGCUUUUCUUAAACUCUACAUAUUAUGUACAUACCUGCAAAGCAAGGAACUCAUGUAAACAUAAACACAGAGACAUUGAUACAACAAGGAAUCUGUAAUGGUUCUGUUGCAGAUGUGAUCUACCGUCGUACUCCUUGCUCUUUUGGUAUAACUCUACCAAUCAAAACGUUAAAUGGCUCCAUAGAAUCAAAC
Pelobates cultripes (western spadefoot toad) is the source of this 1163-nucleotide non-coding RNA. Lineage: Eukaryota; Metazoa; Chordata; Amphibia; Anura; Pelobatidae. The record is from the annotation of a GenBank genome assembly.